CACCGGAGUUUCUAUAAAUCCAGAGGAAGAAGAGGAUCCUCAAGCAGAGGUUGAAGGCUCCACCAGCUUUGAACCAGUUCACCAAGACCCUUGACAAGAACCUAGG
Molecule: non-coding RNA, 106 nt
Organism: Arachis ipaensis
Lineage: Eukaryota; Viridiplantae; Streptophyta; Magnoliopsida; Fabales; Fabaceae
Source: RefSeq, a predicted model, not a curated record